This 605-nucleotide ribosomal RNA is filed under the name bacterium. Its description in RNAcentral is "bacterial SSU rRNA". It matches the Rfam family "Bacterial small subunit ribosomal RNA", at positions 70 to 678 of the family's 1533-position model. The record is from RNAcentral.
UGAACCUCACUUGUGGGGGGAUUAGUGGCGAACGGGUGAGUAACACGUGAGUAACCUGCCCUUGACUCUGGGAUAAGCCUGGGAAACCGGGUCUAAUACUGGAUACGACCUUCUGGCGCAUGCCAUGUUGGUGGAAAGCUUUUGUGGUUUUGGAUGGACUCGCGGCCUAUCAGCUUGUUGGUGGGGUAAUGGCCUACCAAGGCGACGACGGGUAGCCGGCCUGAGAGGGUGACCGGCCACACUGGGACUGAGACACGGCCCAGACUCCUACGGGAGGCAGCAGUGGGGAAUAUUGCACAAUGGGCGCAAGCCUGAUGCAGCGACGCCGCGUGAGGGAUGAAGGCCUUCGGGUUGUAAACCUCUUUCAGUAGGGAAGAAGCUGGCCUUUUGGGUUGGUGACGGUACCUGCAGAAGAAGCGCCGGCUAACUACGUGCCAGCAGCCGCGGUAAUACGUAGGGCGCAAGCGUUAUCCGGAAUUAUUGGGCGUAAAGAGCUCGUAGGCGGUUUGUCGCGUCUGCCGUGAAAGUCCGGGGCUUAACUCCGGAUCUGCGGUGGGUACGGGCAGACUAGAGUGCAGUAGGGGAGACUGGAAUUCCUGGUGUAG